Long non-coding RNA from Octopus sinensis (East Asian common octopus), 113 nucleotides. RefSeq lists it as uncharacterized. Lineage: Eukaryota; Metazoa; Mollusca; Cephalopoda; Octopoda; Octopodidae. The record is from RefSeq and is a predicted model, not a curated record. The transcript is spliced from 3 exons.
AAUAAAGGUAAAAUAAUCACUUCAUUUAAACAAAAAUAACACUUUGUAAUAUAAAACCUCCAAAUAAAGCAGCAAUACACAAAAUUAUCAUUGACAUAAAAUAUAUAAAUCAU